CGGGACGGGGUGAGUAAUGUCUGGGGAAACUGCCUGAUGGAGGGGGGUAACUACUGGAAACGGUAGCUAAUACCGCAUAACGUCGCAAGACCAAAGAGGGGGACCUUCGGGCCUCUUGCCAUCGGAUGUGCCCAGAUGGGAUUAGCUAGUAGGUGGGGUAACGGCUCACCUAGGCGACGAUCCCUAGCUGGUCUGAGAGGAUGACCAGCCACACUGGAACUGAGACACGGUCCAG
This 235-nucleotide ribosomal RNA is filed under the name uncultured bacterium. Its description in RNAcentral is "partial 16S ribosomal RNA". It matches the Rfam family "Bacterial small subunit ribosomal RNA", at positions 104 to 334 of the family's 1533-position model. The record is from RNAcentral.